RNAcentral lists this small nuclear RNA (23 nucleotides) under Arabidopsis thaliana (thale cress). Its description in RNAcentral is "snRNA_17407". Lineage: Eukaryota; Viridiplantae; Streptophyta; Magnoliopsida; Brassicales; Brassicaceae. The record is from RNAcentral.
AGUGUGCUAACAGAUGAUCUAGC